Molecule: small nucleolar RNA, 106 nt
Filed under: Helianthus annuus (common sunflower)
Lineage: Eukaryota; Viridiplantae; Streptophyta; Magnoliopsida; Asterales; Asteraceae
Description: Plant small nucleolar RNA R71
Rfam family: Plant small nucleolar RNA R71
About the family: R71 is a member of the C/D box family of snoRNAs containing the C (UGAUGA) and D (CUGA) box motifs. Multiple nearly identical copies of this snoRNA have been identified in Arabidopsis, and it is thought to function as a 2'-O-ribose methylation guide for 18S ribosomal RNA.
Source: RNAcentral
AGACCAUGAUAAGGACACUUUGUUAAUACUCCGUGAACCUUUCCCAAGUUUCAUAUAAGGAAUCCCCAUCUUCUUGUGAGUAUGUAUUAAUUUCAGUCAUUAAUUU